Molecule: long non-coding RNA, 473 nt
Filed under: Helianthus annuus (common sunflower)
Lineage: Eukaryota; Viridiplantae; Streptophyta; Magnoliopsida; Asterales; Asteraceae
Description: sRNA HanXRQr2_Chr11g0477601
Source: RNAcentral
UCCCAAUUUUUGCUCUAAGUUUCAACCAUAUAUAGGUGUUCUCCUUGAUGUCUUCAAUCAUUCCAGUAGGUGUUUUGUGUGCUCCCUUAAAAACCUUUUAAUUUCUGUUGAUCCAAAGCUUCUAGAAAACUAUAAAACUACCAUGUAAGUUGUUUUCCUCUUUUUUCUCAGCCAAUUCCCUUCUGCAAUUAGUAGAUGUGUUUCUCGAGUUUGCAAUGUAGUAACUAGAAGUGGAUGUGCGCGCGGCCUUACUCAUGCUUGUGGAUUUCGUCUAUGUUUAUGUUUAAAUAAAGUUGUAAACUUUUAAGACAAUGUUUCUUCCUAUCUCGCGAUGUAAACGCUAAACUUAUGUUUUCAAAUUAUGAAAUGUUUGGUAUUUGAAGUUAUUUUAUGAGCAUGUAGUAUGUUUACCUUCCGUGUGCAAUGAGAACCUUUCAUGAUCACACCUCGUGCUUCCGUCGCAAAAAGGGUGU